Molecule: long non-coding RNA, 459 nt
Organism: Pollicipes pollicipes
Lineage: Eukaryota; Metazoa; Arthropoda; Thecostraca; Pollicipedomorpha; Pollicipedidae
Exons: 4
Source: RefSeq, a predicted model, not a curated record
UGCGGCUCUAUAGUCGAACGUCGUUGUUCCUUACCGGGCGUUGGUUCCUUACGUUAAGAGCCUUAGGGAUAGCCGGGUGUCAAAGAAAUUGGAAGAUCUGUAAACAGGCACCAUGGCAUCCAGUUCAGCUCAAGACCUGGCUCAUAGCCUGCACAUCUGGCUUAUGAAUGAAAUGCAGUAUGAUGCUUCUGGUGCUGAUGGAUGUCGUACAAUACCCUCUCCAGAGAAUCUAGCAGAACUUUGCUGUGCCCAGUUACCAGAUGUGUGGAAGCACUUGAUGGAAAAUGUGUAUGGGCCACACAGCAUCCAUGCCAUCAAAGGAAACUUGCAGCUCUGUCAAGGAAGAAAUGGUAAAAAGAUGAUGUCUGCACCUGAAGAAAAGACCCUGCAAGGACGAAAGGAGGCACUUACAAAGGAUCUGCGCAAGACCACCUCAAACAUUCAGCACAUGAACUGUGA